CGGAAGUUUACGAGUUCUUGGUUGGUUCGUACCGUGUCUUGUCCUCCCUUUCAAGAGUUGAAACUACGUAAAAGUGGUUCAGUGACACAUGGCGUCGAAAUGCAUUCAUCACAAACGUUUUAUUACGGCCUGGUCACUCUUGGACACAGGUCUAACUCUGCAGGAGGCGAUAGAUCUGUUGCGGGAGAUGUCCACAGCACACGCUGAUAUCAUGGCGAUUCUGCAGGCCAGCGUCAACGAACCGCAGGAAAUAUGUCUCCAAAACCUGACUUCUCAGACCCCGACAGCUACCCGCCCCUGUAGCGUCCAUCGAACUGAAGAAACUGGAAGCGAAGGAGCCAGCCGUGUAGCUCAGAAACACGUGGACCAAGAUAUACCUGACUGCCAGGAAGAGGAGCUUGUUCCGGUUAGUAGCCGGACCAGAUUUGGACGCACUAACAAACAACCUGAACGUUACGCACCAUGACUGUGUGCACUGGGCAAUUCUGUGGCGCCCCCUACCGCACUUUUUAUCUGUCUAUGAUGCCUUGCCGAAUACGUGCUGCCUCGCUUAUUUUGUCAAUAAAGAAGUGUCACGACUACCUGA
This is an RNA transcript of Ornithodoros turicata, 586 nucleotides long. RefSeq lists it as uncharacterized. The record is from RefSeq and is a predicted model, not a curated record. The transcript has 4 exons. NCBI's taxonomy places the organism in Eukaryota, Metazoa, Arthropoda, Arachnida, Ixodida, Argasidae.